Molecule: ribosomal RNA, 631 nt
Filed under: uncultured euryarchaeote ME-450_30
Lineage: Archaea; Methanobacteriati; Methanobacteriota
Description: bacterial SSU rRNA
Rfam family: Archaeal small subunit ribosomal RNA
Source: RNAcentral
UCGAUUAAGCCAUGCGAGUCGAGAGUCUUAGGGACUCGGCGCACCGCUCAGUAACACGUGGGUAACCUGCCCUAUGCUGGGGGAUAACCUCGGGAAACUGAGAAUAAUACCCCAUAGUUCACCACGCCUGGAACGGUGGGUGGAUCAAAGCUCCGGCGGCAUAGGAUGGGCCUGCGACAUAUCAGGUUGUAGGGGGUGUAACGUACCCUCUAGCCAUCAACGCGUACGGGUGUUGGGAGACAUAUCCCGGAGAUGGAUUCUGAGACACGAAUCCAGACCCUACGGGGUGCAGCGGGCACAAAAACUUGGCAAUGCGAGCAAUCCUGACCAGGGAACUCCAAGUGGCGGGUGUAAUACCCAGUUUUUUCUUGACUCUUCAAAGGUCUUGGAAUAAGGGGUGGGUAAGGACAGUGCCAGCCGCCNCGGUAAUACCGGCCCUCAAGUGGUAGUCGCUUUUAUUGGGCCUAAAACGUCCGUAGCCGGUCUGGUGCAUUCGUGGGUAAAUCAACCCGCUCAACGGGUUGAAUUCUGCGAGCACGGCCAGACUUGGGACCGGGAGAGGUGUGGGGUACUCCCAGGGUAAGGGUAAAAUCCUGUCAUCCUGAGAGGACCACCUGUUGCGAAGGCGCCA